UGGGGAAUUUUGCACAAUGGGGGAAACCCUGAUGCAGCGACGCCGCGUGAUUUAGAAGGCCUUCGGGUUGUAAAAAUCUUUUCUAUGGGAAGAAAAUGACAGUACCAUAGGAAUAAGGACCGGCUAAUUACGUGCCAGCAGCCGCGGUAAUACGUAAGGUCCGAGCGUUGUCCGGAAUCAUUGGGCGUAAAGGGUACGUAGGCGGGUAAGCAAGUUAGAAGUGAAAUCCUGUAGCUCAACUACAGUAAGCUUUUAAAACUGCUCAUCUUGAGAUAUGGAAGGGAAAGUGUAAUUCCUAGUGUAGCGGUGAAAUGCGCAGAUAUUAGGAGGAAUGCCGGUGGCGAAGGCGACUUUCUGGCCAUAAUCUGACGCUGAGGUACGAAAGCGUGGGUAGCAAACAGG
RNAcentral lists this ribosomal RNA (402 nucleotides) under Bacteroidota bacterium. RNAcentral describes it as "Bacteroidetes bacterium partial 16S ribosomal RNA". It matches the Rfam family "Bacterial small subunit ribosomal RNA", at positions 355 to 776 of the family's 1533-position model. Lineage: Bacteria; Pseudomonadati; Bacteroidota. The record is from RNAcentral.